RNAcentral lists this unclassified non-coding RNA (731 nucleotides) under Hevea brasiliensis (rubber tree). The record is from RNAcentral. Lineage: Eukaryota; Viridiplantae; Streptophyta; Magnoliopsida; Malpighiales; Euphorbiaceae.
GAUCAAAGCCCUCACCACUGAUGUCGAGAAGUUCUACCAGCAGUGCGAUCCUGAGAAGGAGAACUUGUGUCUCUAUGGACUUCCAAAUGAAACGUGGGAAGUUAACUUGCCGGUGGAGGAGGUGCCUCCUGAGCUCCCGGAACCAGCAUUAGGUAUAAACUUUGCAAGGGAUGGGAUGCAGGAGAAAGACUGGUUAUCACUGGUUGCAGUUCACAGUGACUCAUGGUUGCUUGCUGUUGCAUUCUAUUUUGGUGCUCGUUUUGGGUUUGGGAAGACUGAAAGGAAGAGGCUAUUCCAGAUGAUCAACGAUCUCCCAAGUGUAUUUGAAGUUGUGACUGGAAAUGGUAAGCAGUCGAAAGAGCAGUCUGCCACACAUAACAAUGGCAGUAAAAGCAAGUCGAGUGGAAAGAUGCAGUCCCGGCAAUUGGAGUCCCAUAGCAAGGGAGUGAAGAUGUCUCCACCACCGAAAGAGGAUGAAGAUAGCGGGGAAGAUGAGGAGGAAGAAGAAGACGAUGAACAGGGUGCAACAUGUGGGGCUUGUGGGGACAACUACGGCAAUGACGAAUUCUGGAUUUGUUGCGAUGUGUGUGAAAGAUGGUUCCAUGGAAAAUGUGUGAAGAUUACACCUGCAAAGGCGGAGCAUAUCAAGCAAUACAAGUGUCCAAGUUGCAGUAACAAGAGAGCAAGGGUUUGAUUUAGGAUCUGAAAGUUGGAGAUAGUUGCAGGGAAGG